This 70-nucleotide transfer RNA is filed under the name Centropristis striata (black sea bass). RNAcentral describes it as "tRNA-Met". The record is from RNAcentral. Lineage: Eukaryota; Metazoa; Chordata; Actinopteri; Perciformes; Serranidae.
AGUAACGUAAGUUAACUUAAACUGUUGGGCCCAUACCCCAAACAUGAGGGUGAAACCCCCUCCAUUACUA